Small nucleolar RNA from Castor canadensis (American beaver), 127 nucleotides. The record is from Ensembl. NCBI's taxonomy places the organism in Eukaryota, Metazoa, Chordata, Mammalia, Rodentia, Castoridae.
CUGCAUACACUGAUAGACUUUGAACAAUUUGCUGUUGUUCUUUUGGUUUGCACUAGGAUGCAAAAGAAAAUACUCCCUGUGCUUUCUGUCUUCUUGGCAGCCCAGAUUGAAUUGGGGGAAUACAUUA